AGAGUACGUGAAACCGUUUAGGGGUAAACCUGAGAAACCCGAAAAGUCGAAGGGUGAAAUUCAUCGCGGUUCGACGUCGGAGACGAGCGAGCGACGCAACUAAGAGACGACGCGUCUUCGGACGCGACGCUCCGUCCGCCCGUCGAGUCGACGACGAACGCGUGCACUUUUCACCUGGUAGGACGUCGCGAUCCGUUGGGUGUCGGUCUACGGUCGACGGUGGCGACCGCGCGCCCGUUUUUCGGAACGUGCGCGCGCGGACCCGUCGGUAAUUCCCGGCCGACUCGCCCGACGGUAUACGAACGGUUGGGGGCCGCUUUUAAAGCGUCCGACUCGCGGCAAGCGCGCCGGUUGUUUGUCGGCGAUCGGACCUAGCGCCGAUUCCGACCUCCGGUGACUGUUGGCCGCGAAGUUCUCGGACAGACCCUCCUCGAUAUAAAACCGAUCUGCGACGCUAUAGCUUUGGGUACUUUCAGG
This 477-nucleotide ribosomal RNA is filed under the name Scolytus dimidiatus. RNAcentral describes it as "partial 28S ribosomal RNA". The record is from RNAcentral. Lineage: Eukaryota; Metazoa; Arthropoda; Insecta; Coleoptera; Curculionidae.